This 433-nucleotide ribosomal RNA is filed under the name Acanthamoeba jacobsi. RNAcentral describes it as "bacterial SSU rRNA". It matches the Rfam family "Eukaryotic small subunit ribosomal RNA", at positions 739 to 1081 of the family's 1831-position model. The record is from RNAcentral. Lineage: Eukaryota; Discosea; Longamoebia; Acanthamoebidae.
GGGCCCAGAUCGUUUACCGUGAAAAAAUUAGAGUGUUCAAAGCAGGCAGACCAUUCUUCUGCCACGAAUACAUUAGCAUGGGAUAAUGGAAUAGGACCCUGUCCUCCUAUUUUGUGUGUUGGUUUUCGAGGACCGGGUAAUGAUAAUAGGGAUAGUUGGGGGCAUUAAUAUUUAAUUGUCAGAGGUGAAAUUAUUGGAUUUAUGAAAGAUUGAAUUCUGCGAAAGCAUCUGCCAAGGAUGUUUUCAUUAAUCAAGAACGAAAGUUAGGGGAUCGAAGACGAUCAGAUACCGUCGUAGUCUUAACCAUAAACGAUGCCGACCAGCGAUUAGGAGACGUUGAAUACAAAUCUCCACCGUCAGAUCGGCCUCCUGGCUGUAGGCGUAUGAUCGCUGCGGAAUGGCUGGCUCAACGAACACCCGCCGUCCCCCUUCU